This 465-nucleotide ribosomal RNA is filed under the name uncultured bacterium. Its description in RNAcentral is "partial 16S ribosomal RNA". It matches the Rfam family "Bacterial small subunit ribosomal RNA", at positions 338 to 795 of the family's 1533-position model. The record is from RNAcentral.
CCUACGGGAGGCAGCAGUAGGGAAUCUUCCACAAUGGGCGAAAGCCUGAUGGAGCAACGCCGCGUGGGUGAAGAAGGUCUUCGGAUCGUAAAACCCUGUUGUUAGAGAAGAAAGUGCGUGAGAGUAACUGUUCACGUUUCGACGGUAUCUAACCAGAAAGCCACGGCUAACUACGUGCCAGCAGCCGCGGUAAUACGUAGGGGGCAAGCGUUAUCCGGAUUUAUUGGGCGUAAAGGGAACGCAGGGGGUCUUUUAAGUCGGAUGUGAAAGCCUUCGGCUUAACCGGAGUAGUGCAUUGGAAACUGGGAGACGUGAGUGCAGAAGAGGAGAGUGGAACUCCAUGUGUAGCGGUGAAAUGCGUAGAUAUAUGGAAGAACACCAGUGGCGAAAGCGGCUCUCUGGUCUGUAACUGACGCUGAGGUUCGAAAGCGUGGGUAGCAAACAGGAUUAGAUACCCCUGUAGUC